RNAcentral lists this ribosomal RNA (385 nucleotides) under Massilia agri. Its description in RNAcentral is "bacterial SSU rRNA". It matches the Rfam family "Bacterial small subunit ribosomal RNA", at positions 576 to 961 of the family's 1533-position model. Lineage: Bacteria; Pseudomonadati; Pseudomonadota; Betaproteobacteria; Burkholderiales; Oxalobacteraceae. The record is from RNAcentral.
CGGUUUUGUAAGUCUGACGUGAAAGCCCCGGGCUCAACCUGGGAAUUGCGUUGGAGACUGCAAGGCUUGAAUCUGGCAGAGGGGGGUAGAAUUCCACGUGUAGCAGUGAAAUGCGUAGAGAUGUGGAGGAACACCGAUGGCGAAGGCAGCCCCCUGGGUCAAGAUUGACGCUCAUGCACGAAAGCGUGGGGAGCAAACAGGAUUAGAUACCCUGGUAGUCCACGCCCUAAACGAUGUCUACUAGUUGUCGGGUUUUAAUUAACUUGGUAACGCAGCUAACGCGUGAAGUAGACCGCCUGGGGAGUACGGUCGCAAGAUUAAAACUCAAAGGAAUUGACGGGGACCCGCACAAGCGGUGGAUGAUGUGGAUUAAUUCGAUGCAACG